GUAACGUUAAAGCGGGUGAAAAGCCCGCUCGUCGUAAGCCCAAGGUUUCCUGCUCUACGUUCAUCGGAGCAGGGUGAGUCGGCCCCUAAGGUGAGGCUGAGAAGCGUAACUGAUGGGAACAAGGUUAAUAUUCCUUGACCACCGCUGAAUGCGAAGGGGGGACGGAGUAUUGAAGAUCAUCCGGGUGUUGGAUAUCCCGGUUUGCGAGCGUAGGAGGCUGACAGGCAAAUCCGUCAGCGAAUCUCCGAGGCGAAGCAUCGAGCUCUCUUUUGAGCGAAGUGAUUGGAUGUGCUUCCAGGAAAAGCCUCUAAGCUCCAGUUCAGCGGGACCGUACCGCAAACCGACACUGGUGGGCGAGCUGAAUAUGCUCAGGCGCUUGAGAGAACUCAGGAGAAGGAACUCGGCAAAUUGACACCGUAACUUCGGGAUAAGGUGUGCCUUUGUAGCGUGGAGGGAGAAACACCCCGAGCGCGAAGAGGUCUCAGAUAAUCGGUGGCUGCGACUGUUUAUUAAAAACACAGCACUCUGCAAAGACGAAAGUCGACGUAUAGGGUGUGAUGCCUGCCCGGUGCUGGAAGAUUAAUUGAUGGGGUGCAAGCUCCUGAUCGAAGUCCCAGUAAACGGCGGCCGUAACGAUAACGGUCCUAAGAUAGCGAAAUUCCUUGUCGGGCAAGUUCCGACCUGCACGAAUGGCAUAACGAUGGCCACACUGUCUCCUCCUGAGACUCAGUGAAGUUGAAGUGUUUGUGAUGAUGCAAUCUCCCCGCGGCUAGACGGAAAGACCCCAUGAACCUUUACUGUAGCUUUGCAUUGGACUUUGAACCGAUCUGUGUAGGAUAGGCGGGAGCCUGUGAAACCACAACGCCAGUUGUGGCGGAGGCGUCCUUGAAAUACCGCCCUGAUUUGUUUGAGGUUCUAACCUGGGACAGUUAUCCUGUCCGGGGACCGUGCAUGGUAGGCAGUUUGACUGGGGCGGUCUCCUCCUAAAGGGUAACGGAGGAGUGCGAAGGUACGCUAGGUACGGUCGGAAAUCGUGCUGAUAGUGCAAUGGCAAAAGCGUGCUUGACUGCGAGACCCACAAGUCGAGCAGAUACGAAAGUAGGUCAUAGUGAUCCGGUGGCUCUGUAUGGAAGGGCCAUCGCUCAACGGAUAAAAGGUACUCUGGGGAUAACAGGCUGAUACCGCCCAAGAGUUCAUAUCGACGGCGGUGUUUGGCACCUCGAUGUCGGCUCAUCUCAUCCUGGGGCUGUAGCCGGUCCCAAGGGUAUGGCUGUUCGCCAUUUAAAGAGGUACGUGAGCUGGGUUUAAAACGUCGUGAGACAGUUUUGUCCCUAUCUGCCGUGGGCGCUGGAAGAUUGACGGGGGCUGCUCCUAGUACGAGAGGACCGGAGUGGACUCACCUCUGGUGUACCGGUUGUCACGCCAGUGGCAUCGCCGGGUAGCUAUGUGGGGAAGAGAUAACCGCUGAAAGCAUCUAAGCGGGAAACUUGCCUGAAGAUAAGUCUUCCUGGAGGCUAGACCUCCCUAAAGAGUCGUUCGAGACCAGGACGUUGAUAGGAUGGGUGUGUAAGUGCUUUGAGGCACUCAGCUAACCAUUACUAAUUGCUCGUGAAGCUUGAUCCU
Molecule: ribosomal RNA, 1623 nt
Filed under: metagenome
Description: bacterial LSU rRNA
Rfam family: Bacterial large subunit ribosomal RNA
Source: RNAcentral